AACGUAGCCUUCGUUUUUGUGAGCCCUUGGCGCUUCCGUCUGCGAGUGGUGUGUGGAAUUUUAGGGUUUUCCAGGCAGGGCGCUCGUCGAUCCUUGGUUGCGAGGAGCAAUGGCCGCGGCUAUGGCGCUCAACAACACGUUGAGCCUCGCCGGAUCUCAGUUCAUGGGGCAGAGCGUCAAGCUUUCUACAGUGAAUUGCUCGCCGUCCGGCCGCAGCGCCUCCUUGGUCGUCAGAGCUGGGGGAUACGAUGAGGAGCUCGUCAAGACUGCUGUAAGUGAUCCAUUUUGCUGUGGAAAUCCUGGAAAAAGGUUUUACUGACUGGAAGAUUUCCAUUUCCUUGCGCAUCGUAGAUUGGCAUCGAUUGGCCUCGACAACACCGAGGACAACAGACAAGCUUACAGGGAGCUCCUGAUCACCACCCCUGGCCUGGGAUCUUACAUUUCUGGCGCGAUUUUGUUCGAGGAGACGCUCUACCAGUCGGCGAAAGGAGGCAAGACGUUCGUGGAUUGCCUCAAGGAGCAGAACAUCGUGCCUGGAAUCAAGGUCGACAAGGGUCUCGUUCCACUCGCUGGAUCCAACAACGAGUCGUGGUGCCAAGGACUUGACGGCUUGGCUUCUCGCUCAGCUGCUUACUACGGCCAGGGUGCGAGGUUUGCGAAGUGGCGAACAGUCAUUAGCAUUCCAAACGGUCCUUCCGAGCUAGCAGUGACUGAAGCCGCUUGGGGCCUUGCUCGUUAUGCCGCCAUCUCUCAGGACAAUGGAUUAGUGCCAAUUGUUGAGCCUGAGGUUCUCCUGGACGGAGAGCACGGGAUUGACAGGACCUUGGAGGUUGCAGAGAAAGUCUGGGCCAAGACCUUCUACUACCUGUCACUGAACAACGUCCUGUUCGAGGGUAUCCUCUUGAAACCCAGCAUGGUCACUCCCGGCGCAGACUACAAGGGAACCAAGUCCACUCCCCAGGAAGUCGCCGACUACACGCUCAAGAUGCUCCACCACAGAGUUCCCCCCUCUGUUCCCGGCAUCAUGUUUUUGUCUGGAGGACAAUCCGAGGUGGAGGCGACGCUCAACUUGAACGCAAUGAACCAGAGCCCCAACCCGUGGCACGUAUCCUUCUCGUACGCCCGUGCUUUGCAGAACACGGUGUUGCAGACAUGGAAGGGACUUCCAGAGAACGUCAAGGCGGCUCAAGACGCUCUCCUUGUCCGGGCCAAGGCAAACUCCAAGGCGCAGCUCGGCCAGUACACGGCCGAGGGAGAAUCCGACGCUGCCAAGAAGGAGAUGUUCGAGAAGGGAUACACUUACUAAGAAAGAUCGAUCGAGCGAGCGAAGAACAGCAAGUUCAUUCAUGGCGACAAAAGAGACGAUCGAUCGCAGCGAGGCAGUAUAACUUUCUGGACUAAUAAGAAAACAAUUUUUAUGAGAAACAAAUUCCAAUUUUUAUGUAGUUUGCCCCUUAA
Molecule: RNA transcript, 1458 nt
Organism: Selaginella moellendorffii
Lineage: Eukaryota; Viridiplantae; Streptophyta; Lycopodiopsida; Selaginellales; Selaginellaceae
Gene name: fructose-bisphosphate aldolase 1, chloroplastic-like
Exons: 6
Source: RefSeq, a predicted model, not a curated record